ACAAAUCAAGUGCUAUGAAUGUGGUGAAACCGGGCACAUCAAAUCAAAUUGCCCAAACAUCAAAAAGGAGAAGAAACCUUUUAAAAAGCAACGUGCAUAAAAUCAGAAUCAACAGUAACACCCAGGGGAGAUAAUUCAUCCACAAUCACGCGAAUACCGUGCAUAUAGUCAGUAAUAGAUUUAGAACCUUUUACCGGAUUGUGGAGCUGCUAUUUGAGAGCCA
Molecule: long non-coding RNA, 223 nt
Filed under: Nicotiana benthamiana
Lineage: Eukaryota; Viridiplantae; Streptophyta; Magnoliopsida; Solanales; Solanaceae
Description: long non-coding RNA (NBEN_LNC006485)
Source: RNAcentral